UUAUUAUUUCCUCCGUCCGGAAAUAUACUUGUCAUAAAAAUAGAUGUAUCUAGACUUAUUUCAGUUAUAGAUACGCCCAUUUUAUAUAUUUUUAGGGCAAGUAUUUUCGGGCGGAGGGAGUACUUA
This 126-nucleotide microRNA precursor is filed under the name Hordeum vulgare. RNAcentral describes it as "microRNA MIR1122". It matches the Rfam family "MIR1120/MIR1122 microRNA precursor family". The record is from RNAcentral. Lineage: Eukaryota; Viridiplantae; Streptophyta; Magnoliopsida; Poales; Poaceae.